GAAAUGCGAUACGUAGUGUGAAUUGCAGAAUUCCGCGAAUCAUCGAGUCUUUGAACGCAAGUUGCGCCCGAGGCUUGACCAAGGGCAUUUCUGCCAGAGCGUCACCGCGACACCCACCAAACACACUCAGUAAGUAGAUGUGUUUGAGUGAAAGUGGCCAUCCGAAUGGGGCCCCGCCCUUCUUUGGGCGCGGGCAGAUUGGGUUGGCUGAAAUGUAGGGAAUUUGGCCGCCGUGGUAGAACAACCAGCGAUCAGGUGAUCAUCCGGGUGCAAACCCGGAAGAACUCAAACGUGCGCCGGUUGCGACAUCCAGUUGGUUCCAAGCUCCAAAGCAGGUCUCCCUCCCCUUCGCUCCCAGGAGUGAAGAGGGAAGGAAAAACGUCACGCAUCAGACCUCUGA
RNAcentral lists this unclassified non-coding RNA (400 nucleotides) under uncultured fungus. RNAcentral's name for it is "sequence contains ITS1". The stretch from base 1 to 104 matches the Rfam family "5.8S ribosomal RNA", at positions 50 to 154 of the family's 154-position model. The record is from RNAcentral. Lineage: Eukaryota; Fungi.